This 205-nucleotide long non-coding RNA is filed under the name Sorghum bicolor (sorghum). RNAcentral's name for it is "long non-coding RNA (SBIC_LNC005392)". The record is from RNAcentral. Lineage: Eukaryota; Viridiplantae; Streptophyta; Magnoliopsida; Poales; Poaceae.
UUUUGUGGUAUUUCUGGAUCCUCACCAAGGCAGUGAUGAUAUAUGCCUUCUCUCAAAGUAUGUAGUAUUUGUGGUAUGAGGCAUAGUGAUAUUGCCUUCUCUCUCACCCUACUCUAAUAAGGUUUUGAUAUCUGGAGCUCAUAGAUGGGAGACAGAUAAUACAUACUUACAAGAUAUUUAUUGCAUAGUCAAACCAUGGAUCCAG